Molecule: ribosomal RNA, 254 nt
Filed under: uncultured bacterium
Lineage: Bacteria
Description: partial 16S ribosomal RNA
Rfam family: Bacterial small subunit ribosomal RNA
Source: RNAcentral
UACGGGGGGAGCAAGCGUUGUUCGGAUUUACUGGGCGUAAAGGGCGCGUAGGCGGCCAGCACAAGUCAGUUGUGAAAUCUCCGGGCUUAACUCGGAAAGGUCAACUGAUACUGUGCGGCUAGAGUGCAGAAGGGGCAACUGGAAUUCUCGGUGUAGCGGUGAAAUGCGUAGAUAUCGAGAGGAACACCUGCGGCGAAGGCGGGUUGCUGGGCUGACACUGACGCUGAGGCGCGAAAGCGUGGGGAGCAAACAGG